UCUUUUUCUUUUUUUCUAUAUAUACAUAUAUAUAUAGAAAAAAAGAUGUGAAUAAUAUGUGAAAUAAUAUAUAUAUAUAAAAUGUAUGGAUAUAAUGCGUCAAAUACAAAGAUUCAUUCAUUAAUAUAUAUAUAUAUGUACACACACUAGAAUUAAAAGAUGCAAGCAUUUAAACUUUCUCUUACAGAACAUAGAAUAAACUGUGCAAAGGGAAUAAAAAAGUAUUGUUUCAUAGUUUAGUCUGGAAGCUUUUACUUCACGUGAAGAAAGUUUACAUCGAGGAUAGUUACAUCGAUGAAACUGGUUCUAUUUUAAAUGAAAGUUGAAAAGUUUUAUAAAUCUCAAAUAUGGUGAAAUAUAUUUUUAAGCAACUUUAUAAGAGAAAACAUUUUUGUAUAUAUUUUAUUAAUGAAAACAUUAAUUAAAAUUAGCAUGCUUUUAUGCGUUUUAAUAGAUAAAAACCAAAGAUGAAUAAUUAUAUAUUGUGAUACUUCUUUAAAUAAAAUAUUAGGAAUAUUUUUUCCAAUA
Long non-coding RNA from Apis cerana (Asiatic honeybee), 528 nucleotides. RefSeq lists it as uncharacterized. Lineage: Eukaryota; Metazoa; Arthropoda; Insecta; Hymenoptera; Apidae. The record is from RefSeq and is a predicted model, not a curated record.